RNAcentral lists this ribosomal RNA (421 nucleotides) under Protoeuglena noctilucae. RNAcentral's name for it is "bacterial SSU rRNA". It matches the Rfam family "Bacterial small subunit ribosomal RNA", at positions 358 to 795 of the family's 1533-position model. The record is from RNAcentral. Lineage: Eukaryota; Viridiplantae; Chlorophyta; Pedinophyceae; Marsupiomonadales; Marsupiomonadaceae.
GGAAUUUUCCGCAAUGGGCGAAAGCCUGACGGAGCAAUGCCGCGUGGAGGAUGAAGGCCUGUGGGUCGUAAACUCCUUUUCUCAUAGAAGAAAACUGACGGUAUAUGAGGAAUAAGCAUCGGCUAACUCCGUGCCAGCAGCCGCGGUAAUACGGAGGAUGCAAGCGUUAUCCGGAAUGAUUGGGCGUAAAGCGUCUGUAGGUGGCUUUUUAAGUCUUCUGUCAAAGAUCAAGGCUUAACCUUGGGAAGGCAGUGGAAACUAAAAAGCUAGAGUUGGGUAGAGGCAGAGGGAAUUCCCGGUGUAGCGGUGAAAUGCGUAGAUAUCGGGAAGAACACCAAAGGCGAAAGCACUCUGCUGGGCCUAAACUGACACUCAGAGACGAAAGCUAGGGGAGCAAAUGGGAUUAGAUACCCCUGUAGUC